Solanum tuberosum (potato) is the source of this 150-nucleotide non-coding RNA. The record is from Rfam. Lineage: Eukaryota; Viridiplantae; Streptophyta; Magnoliopsida; Solanales; Solanaceae.
UUGCACGUAGCCUCCCGGGCUCAUCUGAGUUUAUAUAGUGAAGUUAGAAGCCCCAAAGCUCGUGCUAAAUUUAAUCGCCGCUAGUGUUGCAGUUUAGCCCUUUGUACCUUCUAUUCAUGGCUAAUUUGUGUCAAAUCAACGGCAAAAUCC